Molecule: long non-coding RNA, 1153 nt
Filed under: Helianthus annuus (common sunflower)
Lineage: Eukaryota; Viridiplantae; Streptophyta; Magnoliopsida; Asterales; Asteraceae
Description: hypothetical non coding rna
Source: RNAcentral
GUAAACUUAUCGACGACAAGAGGAGAGAUUUUGGUGGAUCCACCGUUAAAAAGUCCAAUUGUCGUUAUCGUUGUCCCCGACAGUGGAGGAGAGAAUCAUCAACAUGGGAAUCUUCCGCGAAAAGAUGUUGGUCAAAGUGGAGUGUGUUAAGUGAAGUGGAUCAACAUCUCUAGUUUGGAGAAGAUGUUGGUCAAAGUGGAGUGUUAAGUGAAGUGGAUCAACAUCUCGAAUUUGGUACCUUUGAAUUAUGCUUAUAGGUUUGACAAUUAUGAUAACUAGUGGGAUUUCGUGUACUAUUUUGGUGAGGCUGGUAUAGAAGGUCUACUACGAUACGAUAGGAUACAAUGAUCUGAAAGGCUAGACAUGGACAAUAUAAAAUAACUAAUCAUGUCAUUUUUUUUCGAACAUAAACACAGACCUAUUAAGAAACAAGUCAACACAUCACGACAUGUUUAUAAAAGUCAAACGACAUUAUAUCUUUCUUGAGCUCAUUGAAAUUAAUUUUAUUAGAAUCUACAAACAAAUAUAUACUAUUAGUAAAAUAGUGUGAGGUUUAUUGGGGAAUACUAAAAAAGUGGGGAACAGUGGGAACCGACUCAAACGAACUCCGAUUGGACUCUUUCCAGCGGCGUUGGAACCAUCUCGUCGAACCCUUACUAGGAUCUCUUAACCCUAAACCCUAAAUCAUAACCCCUAAACCCUAAAUAUAUUAGGGUUUAGCUUUAGGGUUUAGCCUUAGGGUUUAGAGUUUAGCUUUAGGGUUUAGCUAUAGGUAGUGGUGGCAAAGUGGGCAAGUUUGAUGAGUUUGGGUAAUGGGUCAAGAUGGGUUUGGGUUAGGAUGGGUAUAGGUCAGGAUGGGUAUUUUAAAAAAAGGGUUGGAUGGGUAAUGGGUCAAGAUGGGUUUGGGUUAGAAUAGGUUUGGGGUAAGAUGGGUUCUAAAAAAUAAAAUAAAAAUCUAAAAAAUCAUAAAAAAUCUAAAAAAUCCGAAAAAUUCUAAAAAAUCAUAAAAAAUCCGAAAAAAAUCAUAAAAAAGCUAAAAAAUCCGAAAAACGUUAAAAAAUCGUAAAAAAUUCUAAAAAUUCAGAAAAAAUAAAAAAAAUCCAAAAAAAACCUAAAAAAUCAUAAAAAAUAAAAAAAAUCCGAAAAAAUCUAA